UACGUAGGGUGCAAGCGUUGUCCGGAAUUAUUGGGCGUAAAGAGCUCGUAGGCGGUCUGUCACGUCGGGCGUGAAAAUCCAGGGCUUAACCCUGGACCUGCGUUCGAUACGGGCAGACUAGAGUUCGGUAGGGGAGACUGGAAUUCCUGGUGUAGCGGUGAAAUGCGCAGAUAUCAGGAGGAACACCGGUGGCGAAGGCGGCUUCCUGGACCGACACUGACGCUGAGGCGCGAAAGCUAGGGGAGCAAACGGG
RNAcentral lists this ribosomal RNA (253 nucleotides) under uncultured bacterium. RNAcentral describes it as "partial 16S ribosomal RNA". It matches the Rfam family "Bacterial small subunit ribosomal RNA", at positions 524 to 776 of the family's 1533-position model. The record is from RNAcentral.